RNA transcript from Electrophorus electricus (electric eel), 238 nucleotides. It is a transcript of the gene named aldo-keto reductase family 1 member A1-A, with no coding region annotated. Lineage: Eukaryota; Metazoa; Chordata; Actinopteri; Gymnotiformes; Gymnotidae. The record is from RefSeq and is a predicted model, not a curated record.
AAAACCUUUCCACUGACUGGUACAUGUGCUGGUAAAACCUUUCCACUGACUGGUACACGUGCUGGUAAAACCUUUCCACUGACAGCUAAGGGGUAAAUGAAAACUUUGAACUCGUGCUUUUCACAACUGAACCAGUCUGAAACAUAAGAAGGUGGAGUGUCAUCCAUAUCUAACCCAGUCACAGAUGUUGGCUCACUGUAAGAGUCAAGGCCUGGCACUGACAGCCUAUAGUCCUCUU